This is a long non-coding RNA of Cynocephalus volans (Philippine flying lemur), 1678 nucleotides long. RefSeq lists it as uncharacterized. The record is from RefSeq and is a predicted model, not a curated record. Lineage: Eukaryota; Metazoa; Chordata; Mammalia; Dermoptera; Cynocephalidae. The transcript is spliced from 3 exons.
ACUGAGGGAAGAAUCUAAGUUAACCUCGGUAGUGACCAUGUGGAAGUCCUGACCUCGCUUGCAGACUUGACCUCUGGAUAUGACAGGCUCAUGAAAAGAAGUGCUGAAUCAGCGAAUAGAGUGAACUAACAAUCAAGAUGAGAUGGCUGCUGCUGAUGUGACUCUCUAGGUCAUUACCUCUCUUCCUACUGCAAAUGCUGCAUGACACUAAACUUACAGGUGACAGAGUACCACGAGGCCUGCGCUUUUAGGGAUGCUUAUGACUUUCUGCAUGCUUACCUAUUACUGACUCAAGGAUCUAGAAACAAACCACAAAAAGAGAAGAAAUUCGCUCUGAAGACACACUAGGCUGAUCUUACCAAUUUCUGAAAUACUCUGUAAAACUUCACUGAUCCUAUGACUCUCUUGCAAAAAGAACCAAACCAGGACAAAGUUCAAAAGAUAAGUCAAAUAUUUAGAAAUGUCUAUGUCCACCAAGAACAAGGAACCAUAAAUGGCAUUAAUGCCAUGCUUCAGGUAAAUUUGUCAUAGAGUUUAGUAUUUGAAAAAUUAGUCUCUGCAAAUGAUCUACCACUGCUCUACAUCAGUAAGCUGAAUGUUUUACUAACAAAUAGGAAAAUAAAAUAUUUCAUGUUUUUACAGCUAACAACUUAGUAAUACCUACUCAGAGUACAUACUUCUUUAUGUACCCAUAUGAACAUACAAUGCUAUGGAAUGUAAAGAAGUAUGUAUUUUUGGUAGGCAAUAAACCACCAACAGAGAACUAACCUACAGCUAAAAGAAGCCCUUGCUUCUUUCUACGUGAAUGACCUUCAUAUGGUAAAUUAACAUAGUAUCAAAUAGAAGACCUCAGGCAAUACUUACACCAAAAAAAUGUACCUACUAGUUAUAAAUGAAAACUAAAUAUCGCUAAGAUUUAUACUUUGCGAAGGAGAAGUUCUACUGAAGUAGAUUUCAGAUUGUCAUGAAACCCUUUUUAAAUCAUUUAACUUUAAAACACUACAUUUUACAUUUUUAAGUAUUCAUGUGAUUAAAUUUGCCUACAAAAGGGAAAAUAGUAUUAUAAGCACAAAAGAUUGAGGGAUACACAAACCUAUUUCCUGUCUCUACAAUCUGAUCUUAAUUUAAGUAUAUCACAUUAGUAAGACCAACUGACUUGUUAAGAAAAGUAUGAUACAACAAAAGUUGACUUCAUUCACAUUUUAACAGCUAUUUCUUCACAAACUGAUAUAUUUAUAAGCUAUUGAUUUUAGAGGAAUUUCUGAUCAAAAGUUUUAUUGCUUUAGGUUUUCUUUUUUGACAGCAACAGAGCAAAAUCUUUUAAGAAAAAUUCUACUGUCAAAAAAAAGGGCCCUUGUCCUCAAGUUUAUCAGGUCCUUAAUCCAUCUCCACUUUAAAUGUGAAGUUAGUACUUAAUAUUAACUAAAACAUAAGAUUUAAGCAUGAAAGAUGACAAAAUUCUGGGCCACAGCUGUAAGUCAACAGGGUAUAUUAGCAACGGACUGCCAAAUAUUAGGAAAAUAAUAGUUUAUUAACUGUAUUAUCUUUAAAUUUGCUUUCUCCCCAGGGGGGCAUGUGAAAUGAAAACACUAUUACGGUCAAGAACCAAUUUAUACAGAUAGAAUAAUCAUUUUUAUUGGUACUGUAUAUUACAAUUCAAUUUUUAUAAACAUAAUAG